CUGUAACGCUCACUGCGAAGGUCUGUGGCUUCACUCCUGAAGUCAGCAAGACCACGAACCCACCGGAAGGAGGAAACAACUCCGGAAGCACCACGUUUAAGAGCUGUAACACUCACUGCGAAAGUCUGCAGCUUCACUCCUGAAGUCAGCAAGACCACAAACCCACCGGAAGGAAGAAAUUCCAGACACAUCUAAACAUUGGAAGGAACAAACUCCAGACACACUAUCUUUAAGAACUGUAACACUCACCGCGAGGGUCUGUGGCUUCAUGCUUGAAGUCAGCCGGACCAAGAACCCACCGGAAAGAACCAAUUCCUGACACAAUCGUUCUUCAUGGUCUAUGACUCCAAGGUCUGAAAUGAUCUCAUUUACCCCACAUGAUAGAUGUGGCCCUUCCAGAUGAGGAGUUCAACAAGACUACAUGGUAGAGCAGCCAGAGAACCCACUGGAAAUAAGGCUCAAAAUAAGGAGUAACCACAAAAUAAGAGACAGAGAAUGCUGAUUCACUAUGCAGUGAAACAUGCCUAACGUGUCAACAGCUAAAUGCCCGGUGACAGUGUGGUUGUCUGGGCAACAGAAGAAGUCACCCACGCAAACACUUAAAGGACCAUACUUAUUUUACAAGAGGAACAGUUUUCAAUGGAAUGGAUAUUAAAACACACACCUGGAUCCCUUUACCACAGGUGCUUUGAGAGGCACCAUCAAGGACAGUGAGCUAACGCAGGAGAAUGGAGUCCCAGAAACCUAGGAGGAGAAGACAAAGUGUCAGCCUCUCGGCAUCUGCAGUGUUGCUAGGAAAAGAGCUCUGAUCCCAGGGGCUUACCCACUUCCACAGGUAGGAAGCGUCCCUGAGAGGACUGGAACAUUAGCAUAUCUCAGAUCCAUCUGCAAAACUUUUGCAAACACGGAACUCCCUCGUUCUAAUCUUAUCAGCAACUUCCAGAGCUGAACCUUGAUUAAUCUGGAUACAAAAAGGAUUGAAACGCCACAUAAUAAGCAUUAACAGGAGGGUGUUUCCUUUAUCAAUGAAGCUUGAUUUAUCCAUGAUGAUCUAGUGCAUUCUCCUCCCAAAAAUCAGGAUCAUCCUCUGCAUAUGAAGGAACAGACAAGCCCUCAGCUCUACCACUUUGGAGAGGGGGGGAUUGGACAGCAUGAGCCUUCAAUUGUAUCUCUUGGAUGACCAAGGAAGGCUGGAUUUCUGCACCUAAAAAAUGGAAGCACAAACUGUACAACAAAUACUCUCCAUUCAAGUUGAAGUUCUCAAAUAAGGUAUCCAAUUAACCAAUGUAUUAAUAACAUUGAAAAUAAUAAUCUCAUAGGAAGAUUCCAAAAAUUUCUGGUUUUAUAUCUAGCAAAAACUUCAUGCACUAUGUUUGAUUUGUAUGUAGAACUCAGGGUGAACAUGCCAGUGACAGUGGCAAUGAGAGGGGUAACUGGGGGCCAGAAGCAGGCUGAGGGAGAGGAGAGGAGGGGGCAGAGUGUGCUCAGGGAACCAUGAGCCAUGCAGGAUAAGCAAUAGGGCAGAAUAAACAGGACAUACCCAUCUGUUUAUUCUCUCUGUAUAAUGUUUUGAUUCUCUUUGUACCCUAACUAACCAAGGCACAGCUCAGGAAGUUGCUGCCAGGAUUAGAAAAAGGGAGUUGCACAUUCUCAAAAAGCAAUGGUACAGUGCAAAGAAUGGUAAUUAAUCCCCCAGCACACUUGACCCAGCCCCUAAAGAACUUUGUGACCUUGGGCCAGGCAGGCAGCUCCCAGGCUUCUGUUUUGUCAUUUUUGACCUCUUCUGGCUGCAGUGAUUCAUUUCCAGAUAUAGGUUGCUUCAGCUCAUCUCAAAGUCUUCUUGUAGCCUGUUCUUUGAGAAAUGGUAAUAUAUCUCUUGAAAAGUUUCUUUUUCUUGCAAAGUCACCCAAUUCAUGAGUUAAUGAGGUCCCACCAGUGAUACGAUUGCAGAGUCACAAAUAUCACUAACUGAAAGGAGUAGAAGGAAGGCGGGAAUUGCAGACACACCAUGAGUGGGUGGCCUCCAGGAGAUACACGUGAGACCAGCCCUGUGGUGGGCCAGGUCAGAAGGACUUCUGCUUAGACUAGGUGGAAACUUCUCAGCAUUCUGAGGAGUACCACCAUCUGACUGGCAGUUUGAAGGUAUCACUUGGGCUGCUGUAUCAAGAAUAGACUUCAGAAGACAAGUUGAACGUAGCAAGACCAGUGAGAAAGGUGUCAUAGCCGUCCAAGUGCAGGGUGGCAGUGGAGAUAGGAGUUAUAUUAAGGAGAGAGUCACCAGGAUUUGCUGAUGGGUUAGGUGUGGGCUGUGGAAGAAAGAUCAAAGUCAAGAAUGACUCCAAUGACAUUGUCCUAAGCAAUUGGAAUGAUGAAAUCACAGUUGUUGAGAUGGGGAACCUGCACAUGGAGUGAGUCUGGAGGAGAGAUUAGUUGUUUGGCUUUGGCCAUGCUGAGUUUCAGAUGUGUUUCGACACACAUGUGGAGGGGUUACGCUUGAAUGUCUGAGUCUGACUUUUGUAUUGAGAUGUUCCUAUCCUACUUCUUCCUACCUCCACCCUGCAAAGGAUGGCCAUGGUUAUCUUCAGUGCCCCCACAAAGCUCUGUGCAGAUUCCUGGUAUGUCACAUUUAUUUCAAAUGGCUUUACUGAGAUGUAAUUGAUAUAUAGUUCACCCAUUUAAAUUGGACAAUUGAAUGGUUUUUAGUAUAUUCACAGAGUUUUGAUCAUGUGUAACAUGGUCUAUUUUUAGAAUAUUUUUGUCACCCCUUCCCCUCUAAAAAACCUCAUAGCCAUUAGGAAACAUUCUCCAUUUCCUAGCAUGGUAUUUUAAAAUAGUGACAAUUCCUAUUUUCAAGUCUGUCAGUAAGCCUCUUAAUGGUAGGGACUUCCGUGUUAUUUGUUUUUGCAUUUCACCCUGUAACAAUUACUCAAAAAAGCUGUUGUAUGAAUGAACUACAGUUUGAAAAAUACGACCCCAAGACUGUGUGUCUUUAAGAGAGAACCAACCCUUUGCAUUCCGGUGCUCUUCGUAUGGCUGCCUGUAGCAUUUUUCAGAUCUAGUUGAGAAACCGAUGGGAGGAUAUGGAGAUAAGUCUCAUUACUCUUUUCUUUCUUGGCUAUACUUCUCUAGCAUCUGUUGUAAACAAAACAGAAAAGAGUCUUUCUAAACCUGGUGAAAAUAUCUCAAAUGCAAGGAAGCCAGUGAUGAAAAAUGCAAUAUCAAAGUUCGGGCUGUUACAAACACAUGGCAUAAAUCACAUCUGCUCAUUAAACUUAUUACAAAGAAUGAUAACAAAAGCAAAGAGAUGUCUGAAAAUGUCUUGGGAAAAAUAAAGUAGCUAAUAAAUUCGUGGUUUUACUGUUUUAUGUCAUAAGGAUGGAUAUAAUUUCAUUUGGGACAAAUGUUUCUGGACUCAGACUACAGACUACAGAUUUGGAGCUGAAGGCCACUACCAAGGCAAUCUCCUCUAACAUCUUCAUUUCAGAGCUGAUGAGCUAGAUAGUCAUGCCCUGUGACCUCUCAGCUGGUUAUGGCAGAGCUCGCCCAAGAGCAAGGGGCGUAAUAUAUUAAUUAGUUUAAACUGAUAUGCGUUAUGUACUAACAGGGUCUGGGCAGACCAGUAGCAUCUAAAUAUUAUUCUAAGAGUCAGAAGCUUUUUUUCCAAUAAAGCCUUAUGCUGAAAACAAUAAUUAUGGCAGAAUCCUUCUGAUGGAGCCUGGGGGGUGGACUGCUUUUUCCCUCUGCUGCUGCAGCCCUGACGUGGUUUAGUGUGUCCUGGGACUAUCCCUUUGACAUCCCUCCUCUGUAUUCUUCUGAAAUACAGGACCCAUCCACUGCAUAUAGUCACAAGUUUACUUGCUUCUCUUCCCUCCUAAACUGUGGAAUCUCUCAACAUAAUGAUUGUGUCUUACACAAAACUGCAUAUCUCAGUUUCUGAACUCAGGAAAUAUUAACUUUGUUCUUUGACUUGCCAGGUUCUUUUCAAGGUGUUGGUGACACAGAUAUGAGGAAAACAGAGUUGACUCAUGGUGAUGGAGCUUACAUUCUAUGGGGCAAGAGUGAGCAGAGGGUAAAUCAUGAAAUAAAGAACUUACUAUAGACACAUAUUGUGGGGAAAAUACAGCAGCAGAAGAUAAUAGGAAGUGUCAGGACAUUUGGAGUGGCUAAAUCUGCUGUUUUUUUUUUUUUUCCAGAAUGUGGACAAGAAGACAUCUUCAAUAAAGUGACAUUUAUAUAGAGACAUAAAGAAAUGGAGGGGGAGCCAUGCAUAUCAAGGAACAUAAGUGCAAAGGCCUUGAGUUAGAAUCCUGUAGGGUGAUUUGUAGAAACAGUAAGGCCAGAGAGGAACACAGCUGGAACAGAGUGAAUUAGGAGAUGUGAACAGAAAGGUCGCAGGGAGUCAGGUUAUUUAGGACUCUGUAGGCCAUUGUAAAUAUUUGGGAUGGGACACUGGGCAGAGGAGUAACAUCAUCUCAUUUCAGUUUUGAAAGGUUCACUCCAGCUACUCUGUUGACAAUGGAUUAUAGAAGACUGAACAUGGAAUCCAGGAGACCAGUCAGAAAACUUCUUCAGGAAUCCAGCACAGUAAUGGCAAAUUCAUCCUUCCCCUUUAUUAGGCCUCUCUACUCCACAUUUUUCAUUGCCUGCAUUCCAAUCCAUCUGCAAAUCCUUUGGCUGUACCACCUAAAUAUGCUCAGAAUCUAAUCACUUCUUAUCACCUCCACUGUUCCCCAUCUAAGGCACCCUCAUGUCUCAUCUCAUUAUUGCCAUUAGCUUCCCAGCCUCAAUCCUCUCUAUUGCUUCCUCUUAACACAAUAGCCUGUGGUUCUUUGAAAAUGUCAGUCAGAAGCAGAAAAUGGCAGAGUAGGGAACUCUAAAACUGUUUCUUCACUAAAGCAACAAUAAAGUUGGCAUAAACUAUUAGGUUAACUUUUUAAAACUAAGGAAUCUAAUAAAAAAUAUACAACAAUAAAAGAAGUGUUUCACAAAGAAAGAAGCUCCUAAAUUUCAGCAAAAGAGUAUUGUGGUGCUUUAACUUACCUAUACAAUUUACCACUUUCCAGCUUGGUGGUAGCUGUGGGGCUGGCUGCCCAUGUUAUUGACAUAACUUGAUGGCCCCAGAGGAGGCACUUAGUCUCAAACAAUUAUGAUUGUAUGUCUGUCUGGUGGCUCCCCGAGUGAUUGGUGAGGGAAUUCCCUAUGUUUCACAUGCCUCUGAACUUUCUCAGGCCUGAAGCAGCCUCCUGAGUGGCAUUUAAAGAAAUCAUUUAAGGCAAACAUACUCACUGCUGCUGCCUGGGGAAGGUUAUAACAGAUAGCAAAAGCAGCAGACAGACUAGAAAGGUUAGGAAAAGUCAGGGAAAGAAUAUAAAUGUGAGAAUAAGUAUUUUAAUAGAUUCCACAUAAUUGGAUAACCUGGAAGUCCACACAAAUGCCCAGGACUAGACAUGCUCAGAAAAGACUGGAGAACACCAUGAACUUUCAUCUCUGGCUCCUGUCUUUAGGCUCCCGUGAAGCUGAAAGUGGACAUUAAGCAAAUGUAAAUGGCCUAGCUAAGCAUUAAAGGAAUGCUCAAACACGUAGCC
RNAcentral lists this long non-coding RNA (5585 nucleotides) under Homo sapiens (human). RNAcentral's name for it is "HSALNT0340659". The record is from RNAcentral. Lineage: Eukaryota; Metazoa; Chordata; Mammalia; Primates; Hominidae.